Molecule: long non-coding RNA, 463 nt
Organism: Thrips palmi
Lineage: Eukaryota; Metazoa; Arthropoda; Insecta; Thysanoptera; Thripidae
Exons: 2
Source: RefSeq, a predicted model, not a curated record
ACCUAUUGGCAGUCGAUCGUGCAGAUAAUGUCACCGUCGUCUGCACUCUGUUGUGCUGUUGUGCAUGAAAUCCAAAAUUUCAAGACCUUCGAAAUGUUGCUUGAAGUUGACAUUUGAUAUUCAAAACUUGACCAGAAAAUUUAUUCAUUCAUAGGAGGUAACCUAGUAACUUGUAGAAGAUGGAAGACCGAACCGCCAAAGCCCUUUGUAUUCUGACGUUUGUGGCAGGAUUUGCACUCGGAUAUAAAGCUAAGGAAUGGAGAAUUUUAUGGUUGAAGAGAAGAAGAGACAGACUGGCCUCUCAAUUGCGUGAAGCUCAAAAAGAAUUAGAGUUGCUCCAGAAGGCACAUUAAGGAGUUUCAGAGAGAAUUUGGUGCCACUGUAAAAACUUCAUGCUUCUGAGGGCUUCUAAUUGUAAUCCACAUAUUUCUACUCUGUACAUUAAAGAGAUAUUUCUUGACCA